CCCAGCUCGCUGCCAGUCGCCGAAAGGAGGAGCGUGACCACCACAAGGAAUCAUCAUCAUCGUUGCCGAGCAGGGAGAGAGAAAGCGUCGCUGUUCUGCCUUCCAUCAAGCCAGUUCCACCGCUGCCGUCACGUCGUGCUGCCACAAGUAUGCGCUGUCGCAGCUGUCUCGUCGCGCCAUCAUCACGAGUCGCACGUCAUCGCUGUUAAAUCCACGUCGCGUCGCCGUGGCAGGAGCUUCUGCUGCCACGGGGAAGCUCGCGAAGGGAGAGGAGGAGCUCGUGAGAAAGGAGCUCGUCGCUACCGCUACAUUCACCGCCGUUAGCGCGCUCCGCCGUCGUUGUUGGGGACACGGUUGCUGAGCCUCUGGCUGCCGAAUAACAGCGUUGUCGGUGCCGAAGGUUGCCAGAGGUUGCUGUCAGAGAUGCAUGUCCAUUUUGUCGUUCUUCUUCUUGACUGGUUAAUUUACUGAGCUUGCAUACGGUGGAAGUUUUCGAAGCUGUUGUGGGACGGUAAAAAGGUGUUUUGCAUGUUUCAUAGCUUUCGUGUUUCGACAAUUGAGGUAGGGGUUUGUUUUUAAAAUUAAAUGUUUUAAUUUAAGAAUGCCUAAAAAAGCUUAUUGAAUAAUUGCAAAUAAUUCAUCAGAGUCUAGUAUUACUAAUUGAUGUGAAUUUGUUGAAUUGUAGUUGUGAAUGGUGUUUAAUUGGUGUUGUUUGUUAAACUAAUGAAUUGUGCUUGGAUUGAAGCUGUGAAUGUUGCUGGAAUUUCUAGUCUUGUUAAUUUCUUAAUUUGAUUGACGAUUUGAGAUUUGUUUGAUAAUAGUGAGUACUGUUGCAAUAAUUUGGAAUUGUUAAGAGAAUGAAGGAGCACGUAAGGGUGGUGAAUUCGAAUGUUAAGGGAGGUCCUAUCCGAAUUUUUAUAAAGAUAUACAAAAAGGUGAUUUUGAUUUGAAAAAUCUGACUUAUAAGCUUAUUUUGAAAAAUGUUUCUAUGUUGAGAAAAGGGCCAGUGUUUGGAGAAGUUAGUCAGCCUCCUCAGGGGCGUAGGAAAGUGAUUCUGAAGAAGAGGAAAUCAGACAUGGUGGACUUGUCUAAAGAAUCUAGUGAAAAGGAUAAGGGUGUUUCCUUAGAAGAAAUUCAAGCUUUUAUGGUAAACCAUAAAAAGAUUCAUGAAUUGUCUGAGCAGAGCGAGGGUUUGUCGGUGUUGGGGAAAUAGUAUCCUUAUAUGGCUGUGGCGGACGAGUUUUGUCAGUCCUCGGCCGAUGUAUCCUUGGCUAACGAGGUUGGUGAAAUUGUGAUUGGGCAAUAUAUGCAGGUGGUUGGUUUUCGGCUGGCCAGUUUAGGGCGUAGCCAAGAGUUGAAACAUAAGAAAGUAAUAGUUGAAAAAGAGGACUGUUUGUUGUUGAAAGAAGAAUUGGCUGAAAAUAAAGUUACUCUGGCCGUAUUACAGACUAAAUUGGCUGAUACUGAGAAACAGUUAAAAGAAACAAAGGAUAGUUAUGCUAAGGAUGUCGAGGAUUUAAAGAAAAAGAGGCUGAUUUGGGGAGCAUGGAAUCUCGGCUGAUUGAAGUUACUGCUCAACUGAAAGAAAUGGAGAAGAAAAAAGGGGAUGAAAUUUUGGACUCCUUUGUUGAGGGGUUUGAAAGAGCAUCUUUACAAGUUAAGUUCCUUGCCCCUGAAGUAGAUUUGUCUGAAAUGGAUCCUGGAAAGAUCGUCUGGGAUGGAAAGAUGGUUGAACAUGAUGGUGUUGCCGAAGAUGAGGCUGAGAAUGUUUAGUAUUUUAUGAAAAGCUAUAUGUUUUUUGUGCUAUUUUGUAAUGCUCUCUUUGUUAGAGCUUUUUGUAUUGUUAAGGUGUUUUUUGUUUCUACCGCUAGAAAGGGCGAUACAUUUUAAUAAUGGUGAUGGAAAGUUGUAGUUUUCUGGUAGAGUUGAUUGUUGACUCUUGUUUUAAAGAAUGUGUUUGGAUCUCUUUGUUUUUGAGGUA
RNA transcript from Arachis duranensis, 1981 nucleotides. RefSeq lists it as uncharacterized. NCBI's taxonomy places the organism in Eukaryota, Viridiplantae, Streptophyta, Magnoliopsida, Fabales, Fabaceae. The transcript has 3 exons. The record is from RefSeq and is a predicted model, not a curated record.